This 984-nucleotide ribosomal RNA is filed under the name Lactiplantibacillus plantarum. RNAcentral's name for it is "bacterial SSU rRNA". It matches the Rfam family "Bacterial small subunit ribosomal RNA", at positions 507 to 1490 of the family's 1533-position model. The record is from RNAcentral. Lineage: Bacteria; Bacillati; Bacillota; Bacilli; Lactobacillales; Lactobacillaceae.
UCCAGCAGCCGCGGUAAUACGUAGGUGGCAAGCGUUGUCCGGAUUUAUUGGGCGUAAAGCGAGCGCAGGCGGUUUUUUAAGUCUGAUGUGAAAGCCUUCGGCUCAACCGAAGAAGUGCAUCGGAAACUGGGAAACUUGAGUGCAGAAGAGGACAGUGGAACUCCAUGUGUAGCGGUGAAAUGCGUAGAUAUAUGGAAGAACACCAGUGGCGAAGGCGGCUGUCUGGUCUGUAACUGACGCUGAGGCUCGAAAGUAUGGGUAGCAAACAGGAUUAGAUACCCUGGUAGUCCAUACCGUAAACGAUGAAUGCUAAGUGUUGGAGGGUUUCCGCCCUUCAGUGCUGCAGCUAACGCAUUAAGCAUUCCGCCUGGGGAGUACGGCCGCAAGGCUGAAACUCAAAGGAAUUGACGGGGGCCCGCACAAGCGGUGGAGCAUGUGGUUUAAUUCGAAGCUACGCGAAGAACCUUACCAGGUCUUGACAUACUAUGCAAAUCUAAGAGAUUAGACGUUCCCUUCGGGGACAUGGAUACAGGUGGUGCAUGGUUGUCGUCAGCUCGUGUCGUGAGAUGUUGGGUUAAGUCCCGCAACGAGCCGCACCCUUAUUAUCAGUUGCCAGCAUUAAGUUGGGCACUCUGGUGAGACUGCCGGUGACAAACCGGAGGAAGGUGGGGAUGACGUCAAAUCAUCAUGCCCCUUAUGACCUGGGCUACACACGUGCUACAAUGGAUGGUACAACGAGUUGCGAACUCGCGAGAGUAAGCUAAUCUCUUAAAGCCAUUCUCAGUUCGGAUUGUAGGCUGCAACUCGCCUACAUGAAGUCGGAAUCGCUAGUAAUCGCGGAUCAGCAUGCCGCGGUGAAUACGUUCCCGGGCCUUGUACACACCGCCCGUCACACCAUGAGAGUUUGUAACACCCAAAGUCGGUGGGGUAACCUUUUAGGAACCAGCCGCCUAAGGUGGGACAGAUGAUUAGGGUGAAGUCGUA